GAUCACUGCCUAUUCUGCUUGUGCCUACGGCUGCUUGGCCUGGGAGCUGCACUUUCAGUCAAACUGACCAUGAGAAGCAAGUCCUCCAUCAAGCAGAUUAACCCCACUGGGCCUUAACUGCUUGACAUACUGGCAUUUUAAUGUAGUUCUGAAAGGCUGGGGUAUAAGAAAUGCUAGAGAUUGAAAGCACUUUGCCAGUAUGAAUCUCAUGGAAAUGCCAAACUGAGAUAAUGAAUCAACAAGCAGGGAAAACAAGCAUGGUGGUUUCCAUAGAUGGGUAAGGAUGUGGGCUUUGCAGAGCCUGUGUCCUGGCAGGUCCACUUGAGAUUGCUGGCUGCAUUUACCUCUCAAUGAAAGUGAGAGCAGCAGAUGGGUGGCGGAGCUGAUAGAAAAAACAAGGAGACUCAGAGUCGGCAGAGAGUUCUAAAUGCCAUACAUUUAUGCUGCUCAAGUGUUCUCUAGAGACCUCAGAAACAAACAACCCCUUCCACAUUCCCAUUCAGUUGAGCACAGUCCUCCCAGGGCCCCAGAUUCCCAGCCUAGCACAUCACUCUUAGAAGAAAGAAAGGGGGCUGGGGAGAAAGGCAGGGAGAAAAAAAGGAAAGAUAAAAAAAGCCAGCAGAACUCAGGUUGGAGGAGUGGGCCAUCUGAAACUGCCUGUUGUUCCCAGGCAACUUAAAGACAGCCUGACCCUAGGCUGGACUUUCUAGGUGUGCAGAUCCAGAGAAAAGAGCAAACUCUUCCCUGUGUGCGUGUGCAGUCACCUGGACAAACAGAAACCCAUUUGUGAGAUGGAAUUUCCAUGGCAGGCAAGGGCUCUGAUGGGAAUGUGCAGGGCAGGAACAUCUGUCCUGGUAUUAAAUGCAUCAUUCCCGUCUUCCCCGCACUGGGGCCAUCUGCAUGCAGAAGCAGACACUUCUUGCUCCCUUUCCAAACAUACCACUGGAUCAAUUUAGAGCCUUGGUCUAAAAGCGGGGAAGGUGAUUUUGUCCCCUAAGGGAUGUUUGUCAUGCCUGGAGAUAUUUUUGGUUGUCACAACGGAGAGGAGUGUGCUACUGGUAUCUAGUUGGUAGAGGCCAGAGAUGCUGCUAAACAUCCUACAAUAUACGGGACAGCCCACAUGGUAAAUAAUUACCCAGCCCAAAAAAAUGUCAAUGGUGCCAAGGCCGUGGCACUCUGCUAGAGGCCAGCUUGUUACCACCCUUUUACUGCUGCACCCACAGCACUCUAACAACACACUAUACAUUCUCUCACCAAAUUACUCCUAAGUAUCCUCGCUGGGAAGUGUUG
This 1290-nucleotide long non-coding RNA is filed under the name Macaca fascicularis (crab-eating macaque). RNAcentral describes it as "lncRNA (ENSMFAG00000055414.1)". The record is from RNAcentral. Lineage: Eukaryota; Metazoa; Chordata; Mammalia; Primates; Cercopithecidae.